AGGAACGCGAAGAACCUUACCAGGUCUUGACAUCUUCUGCCAGGCUGAGAGAUCAGCUGUUCCCUUCGGGGACAGAAUGACAGGUGGUGCAUGGUUGUCGUCAGCUCAUGUCGUGAGAUGUUGGGUUAAGUCCCGCAACGAGCGCAACCCUUAUGAUCAGUUGCCAGCAUUCAGUUGGGCACUCUGGUCAGACUGCCGGUGACAAACCGGAGGAAGGCGGGGAUGACGUCAAAUCAUCAUGCCCCUUAUGACCUGGGCUACACACGUGCUACAAUGGGUGGUACAACGAGCAGCGAGACCGCGAGGUCAAGCGAAUCUCUAAAAACCAUCCUCAGUUCGGAUUGCAGGCUGCAACUCGCCUGCAUGAAGCUGGAAUCGCUAGUAAUCGCGGAUCAGCACGCCGCGGUGAAUACGUUCCCGGGUCUUGUA
RNAcentral lists this ribosomal RNA (429 nucleotides) under uncultured bacterium. RNAcentral's name for it is "bacterial SSU rRNA". It matches the Rfam family "Bacterial small subunit ribosomal RNA", at positions 955 to 1385 of the family's 1533-position model. The record is from RNAcentral.